CUCGUAGGCGGUUCGUCGCGUUCGGUGUGAAAGUCCAUCGCUUAACGGUGGAUCCGCGCCGGGUACGGGCGGGCUUGAGUGCGGUAGGGGAGACUGGAAUUCCCGGUGUAACGGUGGAAUGUGUAGAUAUCGGGAAGAACACCAAUGGCGAAGGCAGGUCUCUGGGCCGUUACUGACGCUGAGGAGCGAAAGCGUGGGGAGCGAACA
This 207-nucleotide ribosomal RNA is filed under the name uncultured bacterium. RNAcentral describes it as "partial 16S ribosomal RNA". It matches the Rfam family "Bacterial small subunit ribosomal RNA", at positions 568 to 774 of the family's 1533-position model. The record is from RNAcentral.